UAUAUUUGCGCCUUGAUAUGAACGACGUAUCAUUACAUAAUAAUCAUUUACAAUAAUAUUGGCAUG
RNAcentral lists this non-coding RNA (66 nucleotides) under unclassified sequences. RNAcentral describes it as "S15-Flavobacteria ribosomal protein leader". It matches the Rfam family "S15-Flavobacteria ribosomal protein leader". The record is from RNAcentral.